AAUGCACAAACUGUAAGUCGCUCUGGAUAAGAGCAUCUGCUAAAUGACUAAAA
Molecule: non-coding RNA, 53 nt
Organism: Salmo salar (Atlantic salmon)
Lineage: Eukaryota; Metazoa; Chordata; Actinopteri; Salmoniformes; Salmonidae
Source: Rfam